ACUCCUGCGGGAGGCAGCAGUGGGGAAUUUUGGACAAUGGGCGAAAGCCUGAUCCAGCAAUGCCGCGUGCAGGAUGAAGGCCUUCGGGUUGUAAACUGCUUUUGUACGGAACGAAAAAGCUCCUUCUAAUACAGGGGGCCCAUGACGGUACCGUAAGAAUAAGCACCGGCUAACUACGUGCCAGCAGCCGCGGUAAUACGUAGGGUGCGCGCGUUAAUCGGAAUUACUGGGCGUAAAGCGUGCGCAGGCGGUUAUGUAAGACAGAUGUGAAAUCCCCGGGCUCAACCUGGGAACUGCAUUUGUGACUGCAUGGCUAGAGUACAGUAGAGGAGGAUGGAAUUCCGCGUGUAGCAGUGAAAUGCGUAGAUAUGCGGAGGAACAACGAUGGCGAAGGCAAUCCCCUGGACCUGUACUGACGCUCAUGCACGAAAGCGUGGGGAGCAAACAGGAUUAGAUACCCUUGUAGUCCCAU
This 472-nucleotide ribosomal RNA is filed under the name uncultured organism. RNAcentral describes it as "partial 16S ribosomal RNA". It matches the Rfam family "Bacterial small subunit ribosomal RNA", at positions 335 to 798 of the family's 1533-position model. The record is from RNAcentral.